RNA transcript from Mauremys mutica (yellowpond turtle), 6380 nucleotides. It is a transcript of the gene named zinc finger protein 850-like, with no coding region annotated. NCBI's taxonomy places the organism in Eukaryota, Metazoa, Chordata, Testudines, Geoemydidae. The record is from RefSeq and is a predicted model, not a curated record. The transcript has 4 exons.
CUCAGAGAGCCCUCUACAGGGACGUCAUGCAGGAGAACUACGAGUCGGUGACCUCGCUGGGAUUUCCCAUUCCCAAACCUGACCUGAUCGCCCGGCUAGAACGAGGGGAAGAGCCGUGGGUCCCGGAUCUCCAGGCUGAUGAGGAAAGGGAGAGCCCGAGAGGCAUCCACACAGGCUGUGACUCCUGUCUGGAUUCUUUCUCCUCUAGCAGGUGACAGGACAGUGACUGAGAACAAGAAGGAGAAUCAGCAGGUGGAAGGUCCUGAGAAAUUGGAACUGCAGGGGAUAUUUUUGAGAAGAGCUGAAGGGAAUUUUUCCCAGUGCUUGGAACAGGGAAAUGCCUGGAGAGAUCGACACAGAUCAGAGAUGCAGCUGGGAAACUAUCCCAGGAAGAAACUGGAUGAAUCCAUUCAACGUGGUGGAGGAUGCAAGGAUCCCAAGGAAAUCACAGUCCAGCAGACAAGUCACAAUGAAGAGAAACCUUACAAAUGCCUUGACCGUGGGAAAAGUUUCCAUUUCAGUGCAAGCCUUAUUAAACAUUGGAGAACACACACAGGAGAGAAGUCCUAUAAAUGUGUAGACUGUGGGAAAAGCUUCAGUGAGAAAUCAAACUUUAUUGUGCACCAGAGACUGCACAUAGGAGAGAAACCAUAUAAAUGUUUUGAGUGUGGGAAAAGUUUUAGUCUGAGUUCAUACCUUACUGCACAUCGGAGAAUCCACACAGGAGAAAGACCCUAUAAAUGCCUUGAGUGUGGGAAAAGUUUCAAUUUGAAAUCAACCCUUAAUACACAUCACAAAACUCACACAGGUGAGAAACCCCAUAAAUGCUUGGAGUGUGGGAAAACUUUCACUCAGCGCAUUCACCUUACUCAACAUAGGAAAAUCCACACGGGAGAGAGACCAUACAAAUGCCUUCAGUGUGGGAAAACUUUCACUCAGCGCAUUCACCUUACUCAACAUAGGAAAAUCCACACGGGAGAGAGACCAUACAAAUGCCUUCAGUGUGGGAAAAGUUUCAGUCAGCACUCAAACUAUAUUAGACAUCCAUGUCUGAACACAAGAGAGAGACACUAUAAAUGCCUUCAGUGUGAGAAACUUUUCAGUACGCGAUGGAACCUUAUUAAACAUGAGCGAACCCACACCGGCGAGAAACCAUAUAAAUGCUUGGACUGUGGGAAAACUUUUGGUCAGAGCUCAUACCUUAUUAAACAUAGGAGAAUCCACACAGGAGAGAGACCAUAUAAUUGCUUUGAGUGUGGGAAAAAUUUUAUUGACAGAACAAAACUUACUAGACAUCAGGCAAUCCAUACAGGAGAGAAACCCCAUAAAUGCUUGGACUGUGGGAAAAGCUUCAUUCGGAAGUCACAACUUACUAGACACCAGAAAGUUCACGCAGCAGAGGGAUCUUAUAAAUGCCUUGAGUGUGGUAAAACUUUUAUUCAUAACUCAAAGCUUACUAUGCAUCAGAGAACCCACAGAGGAGAGAGACCUUAUAAAUGCCUGAACUGUGGGAAAACUUUUACUCACAACUCAAAGCUUACUAAACAUCAGAAAACCCACACAGGAGAGAGACCCUAUGGAUGCCUUGAGUGUGGGAAAAGUUUUAUUCAGAAGUCACAUCUUACUACACAUCAGAGAACCCACACAGGAGAGAGACCUUAUAAAUGCCUGGAGUGUGGGAAAACUUUUAUGUAUAACUCAAAGCUUACUACACAUCAGAGAACCCACACAGGAGUGAGACCCUAUGGUUGCCUUGAGUGUGGGAUAAGUUUUAUGGAAAGUUCAUCCCUUAUUAAACAUGGGAGAAUCCACACAGGAGAAAGACCCUAUAAAUGCCUGGACUGUGGGAAAACUUUCAGUCAAAGCUCACACCUUAGUAAACAUGGGAGAAUCCAUGGAGGAGAGAGACCCUAUAAAUGCCUUGAGUGUGGGAAAAGUUUUUUGAAAAGUUCAUCCCUUAUUAAACAUGAGCGAAUCCACGUGGGAGAAAGACCCUACAAAUGCCUGGAGUGUGGGAAAAGUUUUAUGGAAAGUUCAUCCCUUACUAAACAUGGGAGAAUCCACACAGGAGAAAGACCCUAUAAAUGCCUUGAGUGUGGGAAAAGUUUCGUUUGUCAAUCAUUCUUUAUUAAGCAUCAGAGAAUCCACACAGGAGACAGACCCUAUAAAUGCCUGGACUGUGGGAAAACUUUCAGUCAAAGCUCACACCUUACUCAACAUGGGAUAAUCCACACAGGAGAGAGACCCUAUAAAUGUCUUGAGUGUGGGAAAAGUUUCAGUUUGAAAUCAACCCUUAAUACACAUCACAAAUCUCACACAGGAGAGAAACCCCAUAAAUGCCUGGAGUGUGGGAAAAGUUUUAUUCAGAAGUCAUAUCUUACUAGACACCAGAGAGUUCACACAGGAGAGAGACCCUUUAAAUGCCUUAAGUGUGGGAAAAGUUUUGUGGAAAGUUCAUCCCUUACUAAACAUGGGAGAAUCCACACAGGAGAAAGACCCUAUAAAUGUCUUGAGUGUGGGAAACGUUUCAGUUUGAAAUCAACCCUUAAUACACAUCACAAAACUCACACAGGAGAGAAACCCCAUAAAUGCCUGGAGUGUGGGAAAACUUUCAGUCAGCGCUCAAACCUUAAUCAACAUGGGAAAAUCCACACAGGCAAGAGACCGUAUAAAUGCUUUGAUUGUGGGGAAAGCUUCAGUAAGAGUUCAGAGCUGACCACACAUCAGAAAAUCCACAAAGGUGAGAUACCCUAGAAAUAGCUUGACUGCAGGAAAAGAUUCAAUUUGACUUCAAGCAUCAGUGAUCCACACAACAGAGAGACCUUGAAUGUGGUGGAAGCUUCAUUUGGUGUUCCUGGAAUAUCAGGGAUCCGCAAAUCCACACGGGGAAGAAACCUCUGAGAUGUUCUCAGUGUGGAAAAUGUUCCAAGUGGAACUGUCAUUUCAGGCUCCUCCACAGAGCAGGGAAAUUCUCUCAGGGCUCUGACUAGGGCUGGCCAUGGUGACAAACCCAUUUCCUCGUUCCCCCUCACAUCAGGGGUGUUUGGCUCCCAAGGAUCCAGCUGCCCAUUGCUGAGGUGAAGAUCCAGCAGCAGCCGAGCAUAAGCUGGUCAGUGACCCUCUGGCUCUUCCACGGUCAGUCCCUCCUCCCUGCUGCAGCCCUGGCUUCUGAGCUGAUGGGCUACAGGUGGGGGAAGGGAAAGAGAGAAACUCCUCCAGAUGCUCCCUCUGCCUGGCUGAAGUUUCCUGCUCUUCCUUCCCUUCCCUGCUGGGAUCCCCCUGCCAUGGAGAUGAGGAGAAAGACACUUGGGCCAGGCCCCACCUUCACUCUAGACACCUGUCCCCUCCCCCAUCUUCGACCAGCCCCUGGGUUGGGCCACCCCACUGACCUGUUCCCUGUAGGGGGAGUGUCCCUGGGGGCUGGUAACUUCUCCCCUCCCCAAAUCCCCCUGGGCAUUGGGUUCUGGGGGAUCAAGUAUUGAGGGACCAGGAGGAUGGGUUUUGGGGAGGGAACUGGGGAUUGAAUGAUUGGGGCUGGUGGAGCUCGGUGCUGGGGUAUUGAGUGUUUGAGGAUCAUGGGGUAAGAGGCGAGGGAGAGCACAGGGGUAGAGAGGUGCUGCCUCAUCACUCUCUCCCUCUGCCCCAUCUCCCUGCCUCCUCUGCAUUCAGACAGCACCACUGAGAGGGGCUGAUUCCCACAGAGCCAUUUGUGAGAGGCCUGGAGAUCCCACCUGUGCUUCCAAGCAUCUGUCUAUGGUAGGAAAUGUGGUCGGGAUUAGCCAGCGCAUCUCUGUGACCCUCCACCAGAUUUCCUAGUGUAACCUCAUCCUGAGCAUCUUAUAUGUAAGCCUAAGAUUUUGUCAUGGAUAUCUUUAAUAAAAGUCAUGGACAGGUAACAGGCAAUAAAGAAAUAUUCACGGAAGCCUGUGACCUGUCCGGGACUCUUACUAAUAAUAUCUGUGACAAAAUGGGGCGAGAGAAGGCUGCAGCACCCAUUGCUGGGGCUCUGGGGUCCCAUGGCAGCUGGGCAGAUGUGGGGGCCCUGGCUGGGAGCUGCAUUGGCCCCCUGCCUCCCAUGGCUCGGAGCUCCGGGGCGGCCUUGCCCCCCACAGCGACUCAUAGAUCUGGGGGCCAGCCCAGUAGCUGAGUGCUGUGGGGUACCCCCACAGCCUGCACCAGCUUAGAGCUUCGGGGACCCCACAGCUCUGAGCUGCCAUGGGCUGAAGUCGCAGAGGUCUCUGGAAGUCACAGAUUCUGUGACUUUGAAUCCGUAGCAAAAUCAUACCUUUUACUUACGUGUUCUGACCUCCUCCCUUUUGCUGGGUGGUCAUUAGUCCCGGACUUCCCCCUUUGGGGCUGGAUUGUCUCAUUCCCAGAUAGUCUCACAUUACUCCAGGCCCUGCUGUAAAGUAUUGAGUGUUUGUACAUUUUCUUCCUUAUGCACCAUAAUUAACUAGAUGCUAAAAAAGUGGGAGCAGGGACUCACUCCACUCUCCACAGAGCUGCCUCUGUCCCAGCAAUGGACAGUUUUAUCUUCUCCUCAUUCUACCCCUCUGCCUCUCAAGGUGUCACUUACCACCGUGUCCCUGGCUCUCCAUGCCUGGGAAUCACAGGUUUGAUGUCUAUGAUCCUAAGUCAGACUCUAAGAGGGCUGGAGAAGAAAGUGCCACAGAGCCAGGAGUGGCUGGGGAAAUUCCAUUGGCUCUAAAGCACAGUUUGACCUUACAAAUCCUAGAGCCCUGUUUGCAUCUAUUGGUGAAAUUAGUUCCUGGGUUUUUCUAGGCUAGUCCAGAUCAUUUGUAGAUGGGAAGACUUGUGUUUCUUUCUCUUUCUUUUAGUAUAAUGAUGCUAAAACUUUUGCAAGUAAUACAACCAAAUAAUGAGGCGAGAAGUGAAACUGGUUUAGCCGCUACAGAAGAAAAUGGGUAGAAUAGUGAGAUUUUACUGUAUGUUUGUUACUAGGGUGACCAUAUUCCACGUGCCCAAAGAGAGGACACUGACGAGGAGUGGGAGCUGGGGGGUAGAAUUGUGGGUGCUGGAGGGUUGCGGGGGGAGUACUCACGAAGUGAGGGCAGUGUCGGUCACUGUCACAGUGGCAGGGCGCUGAUACAAGCCCAGAACACAGCAACAGCCAUCCGUCAGCACCUGCCUGCAGGACCCGCUCCCCAGGGCUGGGAGCUGGGGCCUGGGUGGGUGGGAUCUGGCAGCAAUCAAUCAGCUACAGAUGCAGAGGAAUGGACCGAUCAGCUGUGGAUGCCGGGGAAUAGACCAAUUUCUGAGCUGUAGCCCAUCUGCUCUGCAAAACCCCUGGACAUUUGCUGUUAUGGGAAAAUCACACUCGGACAGAGAAACGGGUUCCAAAAAGAAGCUCUGCCUGGGAAAACCCGGAUGUAUGGUAGCUUUAUUUGUUACUGAAAUAUGUUGACGUUCUGGGGAACAGCCCACAGACUAACUCCUCAGAGACGACAAAGAACUGACCAUCUAUGUUAGAAAACUACUAUCUGGCCGUCCACCAACAGGAGGAAGGCGGUAAACAAAGACAUUUACAAUUCAUUUGAAAGACGGUGUAGAGCUCACAUAGGCCAUCACCCAGCAAUGACUUUUACACUAUAAAGGGUGGGAGUAUAGAGGGGGAGGAAGGCCUCUGGCCACUUCUCCUCCCCCAUCUCUACUCACAGUAGCAAGAUCUCUUGAAAGACAACAGGAGCAUCGUUGAACUGGGGGCAGUGAUCCUCGCUGGAAAGCUUCCCAGUGAGCAGGGACUGCUGAAAGCUCUUGGGUGAGAGAAAUCCCUUUGCUUGUAAGGGGCAUCUACACUCCAAACCUAAGUUGACCUAUAUUAGGUUGACUUACAGCUGCCACAGUAAUUACUGCAGUAGCUGAUGUCCACACUACCCUCCUUGGGUUGCUGGGGCGUGUCCUGCCGAGGAGCCCUUCUACCGACCUAAGAGGGGCAGUGUGGGGAGCUGAGAGCCCAGUCUGUCAGCUCCAGCGGCAGCUCCCUCCGUAGGCGCCAACUUCCCCUCUGCCCGGUGGGUGCUUGACCUCCCCCUUCCCACACCUGGCCCAGCCCCUGCACUGCCCUCACCCCACCUCCAUUCCACCCCUUCCCCAAAGUCCCCACCCCAGACCUGCCCCAAGUCCAUCCCCUUCUCCCAGGGGAGGUUCCGGCACUCCUGCUGGAGUGUCUGAGGUUUUUAAAUUGCCAGUUUGGCAACCCAGGUAGCUAGCUGAGAGGCUGGGAAAAAUAUUAACAAACGUUCAAAUAUCACUUUACACAGCGGCAGACUUAUUAGCUAGCAGAAAAUAAAUUACAAUAAAGACUGGGAGUGGAUGGGCCAUUACACAAAGUAAAACCAUUUCCCCCCCCCCCCCCCGCC